RNAcentral lists this ribosomal RNA (621 nucleotides) under Arthrobacter sp. Its description in RNAcentral is "bacterial SSU rRNA". It matches the Rfam family "Bacterial small subunit ribosomal RNA", at positions 115 to 750 of the family's 1533-position model. Lineage: Bacteria; Bacillati; Actinomycetota; Actinomycetes; Micrococcales; Micrococcaceae. The record is from RNAcentral.
ACGUGAGUAACCUGCCCUUAACUCUGGGAUAAGCCUGGGAAACUGGGUCUAAUACCGGAUAUGACUCCUCAUCGCAUGGUGGGGGGUGGAAAGCUUUUGUGGUUUUGGAUGGACUCGCGGCCUAUCAGCUUGUUGGUGAGGUAAUGGCUCACCAAGGCGACGACGGGUAGCCGGCCUGAGAGGGUGACCGGCCACACUGGGACUGAGACACGGCCCAGACUCCUACGGGAGGCAGCAGUGGGGAAUAUUGCACAAUGGGCGCAAGCCUGAUGCAGCGACGCCGCGUGAGGGAUGACGGCCUUCGGGUUGUAAACCUCUUUCAGUAGGGAAGAAGCGAAAGUGACGGUACCUGCAGAAGAAGCGCCGGCUAACUACGUGCCAGCAGCCGCGGUAAUACGUAGGGCGCAAGCGUUAUCCGGAAUUAUUGGGCGUAAAGAGCUCGUAGGCGGUUUGUCGCGUCUGCCGUGAAAGUCCGGGGCUCAACUCCGGAUCUGCGGUGGGUACGGGCAGACUAGAGUGAUGUAGGGGAGACUGGAAUUCCUGGUGUAGCGGUGAAAUGCGCAGAUAUCAGGAGGAACACCGAUGGCGAAGGCAGGUCUCUGGGCAUUAACUGACGCUGAG